RNAcentral lists this unclassified non-coding RNA (337 nucleotides) under soil metagenome. RNAcentral describes it as "partial contains 5.8S ribosomal RNA, internal transcribed spacer 2, and large subunit ribosomal RNA". The stretch from base 1 to 121 matches the Rfam family "5.8S ribosomal RNA", at positions 35 to 154 of the family's 154-position model. The record is from RNAcentral.
GAUGAAGAACGCAGCGAAAUGCGAUAAGUAAUGCGAAUUGCAGAAUUUCCGUGAGUCAUCGAAUCUUUGAACGCACAUUGCGCCCGCCAGUAUUCUGGCGGGCAUGCCUGUUCGAGCGUCAUUUCAACCAUCAAGCCCCAGGCUUGUGUUGGGGACCUGCGGCUGCCGCAGGCCCUGAAAACCAGUGGCGGGCUCGCUGUCACACCGGGCGUAGUAGAUUUUAUCUCGCUCAGGGCGUGCUGCGGGUCCCGGCCGUUAAAAGCCUUUUUUUACCCAAGGUUGACCUCGGAUCAGGUAGGAAGACCCGCUGAACUUAAGCAUAUCAAUAAGCGGAGGA